CUGCCCCUAUCAUGAUGUGUUGUCAAGUGAGGAAAUACCUAGAAAACCUGGGGAAAGUGUCGCAGACAGGGAAGCUCUAGAAAUGGAUUAUCUACGCACAGUAGUGAACAAGGCUGCAAGGAGGAAGAGAAAACCGAGACGAUGGGAGCACAAACUCGCCAGGAGAAGCUUCUUCCCAUGGUGGAGAUCGGUGUUAUCUGCUCGGUCCAAAGUCAAGAUCAUCCCCCACAAAUGGGCACGUCCUUCUGAAUGCUUGGAUCUGAAGAUGGCUUGGAAGAAACCAGUUGAACGCCUGGAUGGCGAGACAGCUUCGAAGAAGGCAACCGCCCAGCAGGAUGGUUCUGCUGCUGCAGCUCCCGGCUCGAUGGGUCGAGUUCCCAUGGUAGUAUAUAGUAGCAAGCCCGGUGAGCUGUUUACUACAAUACCGGUCGAUGAUAUACCCAAAUACAUGAGGCGACACAGAAGGCAAUCCAGAAGGCUGUUUAGUACAGCGGUUAGUUAUCAGCCCAGGAUGGUGAUUGGUACAGGAGUUAAUUCUCAGCCCAGAAAUCUGUUUGGUACAGCGGCAUCGAUGCUGCUCAAAGUGUUGAAGAAGGCAUGAGGAGUAGUAUAGAAAAGCAAGGCUUGUUCAAGUUUCUGAGCAUGCUCAUGUUAUGCAAGGCAACUACCUAAAUAACAGACAUACUUAUAUGCGUAUGCUGUGUGUAAUGCCACUGCGGAGUAUAUCCCGUAUUCGCUAAUUCUUUUCUCGAGCAUUGUUCCUCUUAAUCCCGGUUGGCAAUCGUGAAUUCCUGUUAGCGCCCGUACCGUAACAAUGAGAACCUUAAUUGUAUACUCCAACAGAAUGACUUUCUCUGGUUGUUUCAA
Molecule: long non-coding RNA, 867 nt
Organism: Triticum aestivum (bread wheat)
Lineage: Eukaryota; Viridiplantae; Streptophyta; Magnoliopsida; Poales; Poaceae
Exons: 3
Source: RefSeq, a predicted model, not a curated record